UAACCUGCCUUGGAGCGGGGAAUAACAGCUGGAAACAGCUGCUAAUACCGCAUAAUGCAGUUGGGUCGCAUGGCUCUGACUGCCAAAGAUUUAUCGCUCUGAGAUGGACUCGCGUCUGAUUAGCUAGUUGGCGGGGCAACGGCCCACCAAGGCGACGAUCAGUAGCCGGACUGAGAGGUUGGCCGGCCACAUUGGGACUGAGACACGGCCCAGACUCCUACGGAAGGCAGCAG
RNAcentral lists this ribosomal RNA (233 nucleotides) under uncultured bacterium. Its description in RNAcentral is "partial 16S ribosomal RNA". It matches the Rfam family "Bacterial small subunit ribosomal RNA", at positions 122 to 354 of the family's 1533-position model. The record is from RNAcentral.